CGCACAUUGCGCCCAUUAGUAUUCUAGUGGGCAUGCCUGUUCGAGCGUCAUUUCAACCCUUAAGCCUCUGUUGCUUAGUGUUGGGAGCCUACUGUUAUUGUAGCUCCUCAAAUGUAGUGGCGGAGUCGGUUCACACUCUAGACGUAGUAUAUUUUAUCUCGCUUGUGAGUUGGGCCGGUCCCUUGCCGUUAAACCCCUAUUUUUAAAGGUUGACCUCGGAUCAGGUAGGACUACCCGCUGAACUUAA
This 247-nucleotide unclassified non-coding RNA is filed under the name Xylaria ophiopoda. RNAcentral's name for it is "partial contains 5.8S ribosomal RNA, internal transcribed spacer 2, and large subunit ribosomal RNA". The record is from RNAcentral. Lineage: Eukaryota; Fungi; Ascomycota; Sordariomycetes; Xylariales; Xylariaceae.